RNAcentral lists this ribosomal RNA (253 nucleotides) under uncultured bacterium. RNAcentral describes it as "partial 16S ribosomal RNA". It matches the Rfam family "Bacterial small subunit ribosomal RNA", at positions 524 to 776 of the family's 1533-position model. The record is from RNAcentral.
CACGGGGGGAGCAAGCGUUGUUCGGAAUCACUGGGCGUAAAGGGCGUGUAGGCGGUCAGGUAAGUGAGAUGUGAAAUGCCCCGGCUCACCCGGGGACCGGCAUCUCAUACUGCUUGGCUUGAGUACGGGAGAGGAUGUGGGAAUUCCUGGUGUAGCGGUGAAAUGCGUAGAUAUCAGGAGGAACACCGGUGGCGAAGGCGCACAUCUGGCCCGAUACUGACGCUGAGGCGCGAAAGCGUGGGGAGCGAACAGG